Molecule: non-coding RNA, 675 nt
Organism: Leptonychotes weddellii (Weddell seal)
Lineage: Eukaryota; Metazoa; Chordata; Mammalia; Carnivora; Phocidae
Source: RefSeq, a predicted model, not a curated record
CAUCGCUGCGCGCCCGACAACGGCGCCUUCCCGCUCCCUAAUCCUGACGCCAGAGAGGCGCGGGCUUUAGCGGCUGAAGACAGCGGGAGGAGGUUGCGGCGGCGGGAAGAUGAUGGGGGAGGCUGCACUUUGGCGUAAAUUGCAAUCGAUUAGGGAUCGUUUCUCAGACUCGAGUUAGAAGUGAGAGUUCAGAUAAGUGAGGCCACCAUUGCUGCUUUGAACACCUCAGAAGGGGAGAAUGGAUUUAUCAGGAGUGAAAAAGAAGAGCUUGCUAGGAGUCAAAGAAAAUAAUAAAAAGUCCAGCACUAGGGCUCCUUCUCCUACCAAACGCAAAGACCGCUCUGAUGAGAAGUCCAAGGAUCGUUCUAAAGAUAAAGGGGCCACCAAGGAGUCAAGUGAGAAGGAUCGUGGCAGGGAUAAAACUCGGAAGAGGCGCAGCGCUUCCAGUGGUAGCAGCAGCACCAGGUCCCGGUCCAGCUCUACCUCUAGCUCGGGCUCCAGCACCAGCACCGGCUCCAGCAGUGGCUCAAGCUCUUCUUCAGCGUCUAGCCGCUCAGGAAGCUCCAGCACAUCCCGUAGUUCCAGCUCCAGCAGCUCCUCUGGCUCGCCAAGUCCUUCUAGGCGCAGGCAUGAUAACAGGAGGCGCUCCCGCUCCAAGUAAGCUCCCUUCCAGCA